GAUGAACGUUGGCGGCGUGGAUUAGGCAUGCAAGUCGCGCGAGAAAUUUCCUUCGGGAAAUGGACAGCGGCGGAAGGGAGAGGAAUAAGUAGAAAUCUGCCCUCGGGACGGGGAUAGCGGUGGGAAACUGCCGGUAAUACCCGAUAACAUCUUUGGAUCAAAUGGUGUGAUUCCGCCUGAGGAUGAGUCUACUUCCUAUUAGCUAGUUGGUGGGGUAAUGGCCUACCAAGGCAACGAUGGGUAGCGGGUGUGAGAGCACGACCCGCCUCACUGGGACUGAGACACUGCCCAGACACCUACGGGUGGCUGCAGUCGAGAAUCUUCGGCAAUGGGGGAAACCCUGACCGAGCGACGCCGCGUGCGGGAUGAAGGCCCUUGGGUUGUAAACCGCUGUCGUAAGGGAACAAAUCCAUAGGGGUACUCCCCUAUGGUUGAGUGAUCUUAGGAGGAAGGACGGGCUAAGUUCGUGCCAGCAGCCGCGGUAAAGU
RNAcentral lists this ribosomal RNA (488 nucleotides) under uncultured bacterium. Its description in RNAcentral is "bacterial SSU rRNA". It matches the Rfam family "Bacterial small subunit ribosomal RNA", at positions 28 to 526 of the family's 1533-position model. The record is from RNAcentral.